RNAcentral lists this ribosomal RNA (495 nucleotides) under uncultured bacterium. RNAcentral's name for it is "partial 16S ribosomal RNA". It matches the Rfam family "Bacterial small subunit ribosomal RNA", at positions 28 to 507 of the family's 1533-position model. The record is from RNAcentral.
GACGAACGCUGGCGGCGUGCCUAAUACAUGCAAGUAGAACGCUGAAGGAGGAGCUUGCUUCUCUGGAUGAGUUGCGAACGGGUGAGUAACGCGUAGGUAACCUGCCUGGUAGCGGGGGAUAACUAUUGGAAACGAUAGCUAAUACCGCAUAAUAGCAGUUGUUGCAUGACAACUGUUUGAAAGGUGCAAUUGCACCACUACCAGAUGGACCUGCGUUGUAUUAGCUAGUUGGUGGGGUAACGGCUCACCAAGGCGACGAUACAUAGCCGACCUGAGAGGGUGAUCGGCCACACUGGGACUGAGACACGGCCCAGACUCCUACGGGAGGCAGCAGUAGGGAAUCUUCGGCAAUGGACGGAAGUCUGACCGAGCAACGCCGCGGGAGUGAAGAAGGGUUUCGGAUCGUAAAGCUCUGUUGUAAGAGAAGAACGAGUGUGAGAGUGGAAAGUUCACACUGUGACGGUAGCUUACCAGAAAGGGACGGCUAACUACGUG